RNAcentral lists this unclassified non-coding RNA (147 nucleotides) under fungal sp. RNAcentral describes it as "partial internal transcribed spacer region". The stretch from base 1 to 46 matches the Rfam family "Eukaryotic small subunit ribosomal RNA", at positions 1786 to 1831 of the family's 1831-position model. The record is from RNAcentral. Lineage: Eukaryota; Fungi.
AAGUCGUAACAAGGUUUCCGUAGGUGAACCUGCGGAAGGAUCAUUACAAAUUUGAGUGAAAGAUAUGUAGCAAUGUGGACGUACACUUGUAUGAAAUUAACCUAUUACAUAUAUAUACAACUUGUAACAAUGGAUCUCUUGGCUCUU